Molecule: unclassified non-coding RNA, 327 nt
Filed under: soil metagenome
Description: partial contains 5.8S ribosomal RNA, internal transcribed spacer 2, and large subunit ribosomal RNA
Rfam family: 5.8S ribosomal RNA (bases 1-120)
Source: RNAcentral
GAUGAAGAACGUAGUGAAAUGCGAUAAGUAGUGUGAAUUGCAGAAUUCAGUGAAUCAUCGAAUCUUUGAACGCACAUUGCGCCCCUUGGUAUCCCGAGGGGCAUGCCUGUUCGAGCGUCAUUUCACCACUCAAGCCUGGCUUGGUGUUGGGCGACGUCCUCUUUGGGGACGCGCCUCGAAACGCUCGGCGGCGUGGCACCGGCUUUAAGCGUAGCAGAAUCUUUCGCUUUGGAAGUCGGGGCCCCGUCUGCCGGAAGACCUGCUCGCAAGGUUGACCUCGGAUCAGGCAGGGAUACCCGCUGAACUUAAGCAUACAAUAGCGGAGGA